This 254-nucleotide ribosomal RNA is filed under the name uncultured bacterium. Its description in RNAcentral is "partial 16S ribosomal RNA". It matches the Rfam family "Bacterial small subunit ribosomal RNA", at positions 524 to 777 of the family's 1533-position model. The record is from RNAcentral.
UACGUAGGUGGCAAGCGUUGUCCGGAAUUAUUGGGCGUAAAGCGCGCGCAGGCGGUCCUUUAAGUCUGAUGUGAAAGCCCCCGGCUCAACUGGGGAGGGUCACGCGAUACUGAUCGACUCGAAGGCAGGAGAGGGAAGUGGAAUUCCCGGUGUAGUGGUGAAAUGCGUAGAUAUCGGGAGGAACACCAGUGGCGAAGGCGACUUCCUGGCCUGUUCUUGACGCUGAGGCGCGAAAGCUAGGGGAGCAAACGGGG